AACCAGACUUGAACCACACGGACACUCAGUCCUGUCUCAGCAGCUAGGGACUCUCGCACCUUGGAAAAUGGAAGAAAUCGUGAAAGUUUGAACUCUAAAGUUUGGACUAUAUAUCAGGCUACCCGUACCCCUUGCCAAGAGGUCAAACCAGAAGGGGUAAAACAGUAAGACCCGCCGAUGUCGAUUCGCAAGUGUAGAACACAAAUUUCUGU
This is a long non-coding RNA of Acanthaster planci (crown-of-thorns starfish), 212 nucleotides long. Lineage: Eukaryota; Metazoa; Echinodermata; Asteroidea; Valvatida; Acanthasteridae. The record is from RefSeq and is a predicted model, not a curated record.